Molecule: ribosomal RNA, 805 nt
Filed under: uncultured bacterium
Lineage: Bacteria
Description: bacterial SSU rRNA
Rfam family: Bacterial small subunit ribosomal RNA
Source: RNAcentral
AGAGUUUGAUCCUGGCUCAGGAUGAACGCUGGCGGCGUGCCUAACACAUGCAAGUCGAGCGAAGCGAUUUAACGGAAGUUUUCGGAUGGAAGAUAAAUUGACUGAGCGGCGGACGGGUGAGUAACGCGUGGGUAACCUGCCUCAUACAGGGGGAUAACAGUUAGAAAUGACUGCUAAUACCGCAUAAGCGCACGGUGUCACAUGACACAGUGUGAAAAACUCCGGUGGUAUGAGAUGGACCCGCGUCUGAUUAGCUAGUUGGUAGGGUAACGGCCUACCAAGGCGACGAUCAGUAGCCGACCUGAGAGGGUGACCGGCCACAUUGGGACUGAGACACGGCCCAAACUCCUACGGGAGGCAGCAGUGGGGAAUAUUGCACAAUGGGGGAAACCCUGAUGCAGCGACGCCGCGUGAGUGAAGAAGUAUUUCGGUAUGUAAAGCUCUAUCAGCAGGGAAGAAAAUGACGGUACCUGACUAAGAAGCCCCGGCUAACUACGUGCCAGCAGCCGCGGUAAUACGUAGGGGGCAAGCGUUAUCCGGAUUUACUGGGUGUAAAGGGAGCGUAGACGGCUGUGCAAGUCUGAAGUGAAAGCCCGGGGCUCAACCCCGGUACUGCUUUGGAAACUGUGCGGCUAGAGUGCUGGAGAGGUAAGUGGAAUUCCUAGUGUAGCGGUGAAAUGCGUAGAUAUUAGGAGGAACACCAGUGGCGAAGGCGGCUUACUGGACAGUAACUGACGUUGAGGCUCGAAAGCGUGGGGAGCAAACAGGAUUAGAUACCCUGGUAGUCCACGCCGUAAACGAUGAA